GGUUGCAAGGGUGAGCUGGUUGCAAUAUCUGUCAGCCUGUUGAUCAUCAGUACUGAGUCUGCUGAUCUGGCUGGUUAGGCAGGAGUCCCCUUCUUAUCUCACCGAUCCAUGUUCAUCCAUCCUGAAGUUGCAUGCUUGGUGGAAGAGAACAAUAAUCCCAGAUAGGAGUUUACUGUUCUUUGGUCAGGGGUAUAUAACAGCUCUGCUCCUAUGCUAGAAUCGCCAAACAAGCUCAUAUUGGAAGGGGGGGGAGGAAUACUCAGGAAUGGCCAUCCUUCUGAUGCUGCUUGGGGAU
This 295-nucleotide small nuclear RNA is filed under the name Anolis carolinensis (green anole). RNAcentral describes it as "7SK RNA". It matches the Rfam family "7SK RNA". Rfam says of the family: 7SK was discovered as an abundant small nuclear RNA in the mid-70s but a possible function has only recently been suggested. The record is from Rfam by way of RNAcentral. Lineage: Eukaryota; Metazoa; Chordata; Lepidosauria; Squamata; Anolidae.